CUGUUUAGGCUACCUAUUUAAGCGAGGAAAAGUUGAAUUUGUUUAUUCAUUUUAUUUUUCCUUUUCCUUAUUUUUUUUCUUUUCCCCGUUUUCUUUUUCCCUCCUGUGAGCUAUGUCGUGCCCUAAACCCUUCGACGCCGUCUCCUCCUCCUAACCGGCGCCCGACGACUUGCCCUAACCGCCACAAGCGGCGGUUUUCUCCUUCCCUUCUAUUUCUCUUCUUCCUGCCCGAGCCCCUCUUCUCUUCUGGUGCCGAUCAGUGUGUGUGUGCCCUAGCGUCGCGCCGGUACCGGCCGCCUCCUCCUCUUCGCCGAGACCCCCUUCUCUUCCUCCUCGCCGGGCGACGACGCCGACGCCGAUCACAGCCAACGUCGCUGCCGCCACUUGAGGCCGCACCACUGUGAGUCAAUCGUUGUUGUGCCCUAGAUCUGCAACGCGCCGCCGUCUCUUUGCCUUAGCCGAAUCCCUUCCACCGCCGGUAGCCCGAGUUCCUCCCACCAGCCGCCGAACUUGCGUGCCCUAGGUUCCUCUCCUUUGUUUCGGCCGGAAUCCCCUCUGCCCUAGUUCCUUACUGCCGAGCCAACAAGUGACGGCAACAAAACUAAGACAGCAGUAACUCCGGCCACAGUUUCCAACAGUUGCCUCUAUUCCGGCAGCCCUCAUUCCAGCAAUAAACGAUCAGCAAUAAUCAAUGGCUGUGAUUUGAGGGUUUUGAUGCGAGACGAGUAUCUCGAUUACCGGAUUGGACCAUUUUAUUGGAGGCGGG
Long non-coding RNA from Zingiber officinale, 766 nucleotides. RefSeq lists it as uncharacterized. The record is from RefSeq and is a predicted model, not a curated record. NCBI's taxonomy places the organism in Eukaryota, Viridiplantae, Streptophyta, Magnoliopsida, Zingiberales, Zingiberaceae. The transcript is spliced from 3 exons.